GAUGAACGCUGGCGGCGUGCCUAACACAUGCAAGUCGAACGGACAGACCUCGAUCGUGCUGUACUCGCGUUACCAACGGGUGAGUGACUCACGCGUAGCUAACCCUCCUCUUUGGCUUAGCUUACUGCGAGAGGGCCUAAUACCGACCAGGAACUACUUCUGCACGCAUGGGUUUGUAAAGAUUCGGCGGUUGGGGAUGGACUCGGGGCGUAUCCGCUUGUUGGUGGGGUAGUGGCUUACCAAGGCUUUGACGGGGAGCCGGCCUGAAAGGGUGACCGGCCAGAUUGGGACUGAGGUGCGGGCCAGAGUCGUAAGGGAGGCAGCAGUGGGGAAUAUUGCACAAUGGGUGGAAGCCUGAUGGAGCAAGGCCGUGUGAGGGAUGACGGCCUUCGGGUUGUAAAAAGCUUUCGCUCAUGACGAAGCUUUGUGUGACGGUAGUGGGUAAAGAAGCACCGGCUAAAUACGUG
This 467-nucleotide ribosomal RNA is filed under the name uncultured bacterium. RNAcentral describes it as "partial 16S ribosomal RNA". It matches the Rfam family "Bacterial small subunit ribosomal RNA", at positions 28 to 507 of the family's 1533-position model. The record is from RNAcentral.